UCUCCUCUUUCGUUUCUAGGGUUUUGCAGAUCUCCUCUUUCGCUCUCCUUACCAUUGAACCAGUAGGAUUCAGAUCUUAAUUCUCAACAACAAUCACAUAAUCUUAUCAAUUUCAUCAAUGGCGAUUUCAAGUGAGUUGUAUCCAAGCCAAGACGAUCUCCUCUGAGAAUAAGAACUCCUCAUAAAUCCCUUCAGUUUGAAGCUAUGGUGGCGAUACUUAAUUGCACGCACUGAAUCUCCGUUCAAGAAGCGAGUCGUGAUCUAUGAACGAGCAUUGAAAGCAUUACCAGGAAGCUACAAGUUAUAGGUACAAGAAGCGAGCCGUGAUCUAUGAACGAGCAUUGGGUGCCAUCGGAGUUCUGCUGGGUGAUGAAAGGGUGGAGGUUACAGUUGUGGUGAUUUGGGUUACAUUUAUGGUUUUAACUUUGAUAAUUAUGGGGGAAUCUGGAACAAUGAACUGGUGCUGAUGAUGAACUUGAUGUAAUUGGAUUUGCGACGGUGGUUUGUGUGGAAGAUGAUUCUAGAUGGUUUAUUUGAAGAUGAAGAUGGAUGGAUAAAGAUGGUUUGAAGAUUGAUUCAUUUGAAGAUGAAGAUGGAGUAUGUAUCUGGGAUGAUGAUGAAUGAACUGAUGAUGAUGAACUUUAACAGAGUACGUAGUGGAGGCUUACGCAGAUAAGGGGACAGAUCUGGUAUUUAAGGAUCCAAAUAUUUAAGGAUCCAAAUAUUUAAGGAUCCAAAGAUAUCUGCAAUACAAACAAUGUGGAUGGAAGUGGAAGCUCAGAUGGAAGUGCAAUACAAACGAAGGCAAAAGAUUCUGCAGAAUAAGUUGCA
RNAcentral lists this long non-coding RNA (831 nucleotides) under Helianthus annuus (common sunflower). The record is from RNAcentral. Lineage: Eukaryota; Viridiplantae; Streptophyta; Magnoliopsida; Asterales; Asteraceae.